This 929-nucleotide ribosomal RNA is filed under the name uncultured archaeon. Its description in RNAcentral is "bacterial SSU rRNA". It matches the Rfam family "Archaeal small subunit ribosomal RNA", at positions 45 to 981 of the family's 1478-position model. The record is from RNAcentral.
UAAGCCAUGCGAAGUCGAGAGGUGUAAGACCUCGGCAUACUGCUCAGUAACACGUGGUUAACCUGCCCUAAGGUGGAGAAUACUCCCGGGAAACUGGGGCUAAUGCUCCAUAGUGGGUGCAUCCUGGAAUGGUGCAUCCUCGAAAGAUCCGUCGCCUUAGGAUAGGACUGCGUCCGAUUAGGUUGUUGGCGAGGUAACGGCCCACCAAGCCAUUGAUCGGUACGGGUUGUGGGAGCAAGAUCCUGGAGAUGGAUUCUGAGACAUGAAUCCAGGCCCUACGGGGCGCAGCAGGCGCGCAAACUUUACAAUGCGAGCAAUCGUGAUAAGGAAACCCUGAGUGCCUGUCGAUGCAGGCUGUUCAUAUAUCUAAAUCAUAUGUGAAGAAAGGGCAGGGCAAGACCGGUGCCAGCCGCCGCGGUAAUACCGGCUGCUCGAGUGAUGGCCACUAUUACUGGGUUUAAAGCGUCCGUAGCUUGACUGCUAGGUCCCUUGGGAAAUCUUCACGCUUAACGUGAAGGCGUCUAAGAGAUACCGGCAGUCUUGGAACUGGGAGAGGUAAACCGUACUUCGGGGGUAGGAGUGAAAUCUUGUAAUCCUCGAGGGACGACCUAUGGCGAAGGCAGUUUACCAGAACAGCUUCGACAGUGAGGGACGAAAGCUGGGGGAGCAAACGGGAUUAGAUACCCCGGUAGUCCCAGCCGUAAACAAUGUGCGUUAGGUGUGUCGGUAACCACGCGUUACUGAUGCGCCGAAGAGAAAUCGUGAAACGCACCACCUGGGAAGUACGGUCGCAAGGCUGAAACUUAAAGGAAUUGGCGGGGGAGCACCACAACAGGUGGAGCCUGCGGUUUAAUUGGAUUCAACGCCGGACAUCUCACCGGAUAAGACAGCUGUAUGAUUGUCAAUCUGAAGGUUUUACAUGACUAGCU